RNAcentral lists this long non-coding RNA (217 nucleotides) under Capsella rubella. Its description in RNAcentral is "long non-coding RNA (CRUB_LNC004498)". Lineage: Eukaryota; Viridiplantae; Streptophyta; Magnoliopsida; Brassicales; Brassicaceae. The record is from RNAcentral.
UUAUAUAGAAGUCGCUAUACUGUAUAUAAUUGGACUGGUAGAUAAAAAAAAACAUAUUAAGAAUUUUAUUUUCUAAGGUUUUUUUUGUCGGUAGUUAAUGUUUUUUUUUUUUUACGGGAAUGAUUAAGAAAGAGUUAAUAAUGGUGAUUUAGAUGCAGAUCUGAAUGUGUAAAAUGUUGACUUUGUAGAUUAUUCUUCAAAAAUUUGGGAGUGUUCG